Molecule: long non-coding RNA, 313 nt
Filed under: Elaeis guineensis (African oil palm)
Lineage: Eukaryota; Viridiplantae; Streptophyta; Magnoliopsida; Arecales; Arecaceae
Description: long non-coding RNA (EGUI_LNC058005)
Source: RNAcentral
CCCUCGACUCCAGCUUCUCCAAUGCAGACGAAUUUUUGCGCCAACAGGAUUGGCGCUAGAGGAAGGGGCUGUGUCUUCGUAGUACCCUUAUUCUUAAAGAAGCGCUCAACGGGACCACCUCCGAUCAUCUUUUUGGACGUCCUCUCCUCCUUUCCCCCUAGAUCUUCGCCCGAUGCCUCCCCGCAAAGCAUCCACACGAUGAUCCACGGCCUCCGUGGCCAGAUCUCAAGCUCCAGCCUCACCUUCAGUUUCCCAGCCUCCUCCUCCUCCGACAAUGGCGGUUGGCAUGGAACAAUUCGACCUACUGGCCCAG